AGUGAACGCUGGCGGUAGGCCUAACACAUGCAAGUCGAACGGCAGCACAGUAAGAGCUUGCUCUUACGGGUGGCGAGUGGCGGACGGGUGAGGAAUACAUCGGAAUCUACUUUUUCGUGGGGGAUAACGUAGGGAAACUUACGCUAAUACCGCAUACGACCUACGGGUGAAAGCAGGGGAUCUUCGGACCUUGCGCGAUUGAAUGAGCCGAUGUCGGAUUAGCUAGUUGGCGGGGUAAAGGCCCACCAAGGCGACGAUCCGUAGCUGGUCUGAGAGGAUGAUCAGCCACACGGGAGCGGAGACACGGUCCAGACUCCUGCGGGAGGCAGCAGUGGGGAAUAUUGGACAAUGGGGGCAAGCCUGAUCCAGCCAGACCGCGUGGGUGAAGGAGGCCUUCGGGUUGUGAAGCCCUUUUGUUGGGAAAGAAAAGCAGCAGGUUAAUACGCCGCUGUUCUGACGGUACCCAAAGAAUAAGCACCGGCUAACUUCGUG
RNAcentral lists this ribosomal RNA (492 nucleotides) under uncultured bacterium. RNAcentral describes it as "partial 16S ribosomal RNA". It matches the Rfam family "Bacterial small subunit ribosomal RNA", at positions 29 to 507 of the family's 1533-position model. The record is from RNAcentral.